GCAAGGAAGAGUGGCAUUGGCCCAGUAGUCCAGAAGCUCUUAUCCAAGAAAUGAGUGAAGGGAGGUUAUAAGACCCUCCUUGUUUUACCUCUGAUCCCAGAGGCUUGAGCCCCCAAAGGUCAAGAUGGUGGCCUCCCUUAGAGCUGUGAAGGAUGGGCCCGGAGCAAACUAAGCUGGCCCUGGAUGCAGAGUAAUACUGUUUACAUGAGACUCUAAUCUGCUGGGCAUUUAUUGAAGUGACUUCUAGAAGCAAAGAACAAGCUCUUAUGAGGAAACUCACACCAUGGAAGCCUGUUCCGGAGACCAGCCAGAAGAACCUAGAGGGGCAGAGGAAAAUGUCUUCCUCCCCAGCAAUUGUAGUUUGGGGUCUGCAGCCAUACUCCUGGCAGGACGCUUUGGAUAUGAAUGGCAAAGCGCCGGAGGAGAAGACAGGAUAGGAUGGACGUGGGCCCUUUGGAUUCGCCAGAGGAAAAAAAUAACACGUAACUUGGAAAUUAAUAAAACCUUCAAA
Kogia breviceps (pygmy sperm whale) is the source of this 511-nucleotide non-coding RNA. NCBI's taxonomy places the organism in Eukaryota, Metazoa, Chordata, Mammalia, Artiodactyla, Physeteridae. The record is from RefSeq and is a predicted model, not a curated record.